Molecule: ribosomal RNA, 497 nt
Filed under: uncultured bacterium
Lineage: Bacteria
Description: partial 16S ribosomal RNA
Rfam family: Bacterial small subunit ribosomal RNA
Source: RNAcentral
GAUGAACGCUGGCGGCGUGCCUAAUACAUGCAAGUCGAGCGAACAGACGAGGAGCUUGCUCCUCUGACGUUAGCGGCGGACGGGUGAGUAACACGUGUAUAACCUACCUAUAAGACUGGGAUAACUUCGGGAAACCGGAGCUAAUACCGGAUAAUAUAUUGAACCGCAUGGUUCAAUAGUGAAAGACGGUUUUGCUGUCACUUAUAGAUGGAUCCGCGCCGCAUUAGCUAGUUGGUAAGGUAACGGCUUACCAAGGCGACGAUGCGUAGCCGACCGGAGAGGGUGAUCGGCCACACUGGAACUGAGACACGGUCCAGACUACUACGGGAGGCAGCAGUAGGGAAUCUGCCGCAAUGGGCGAAAGCCUGACGGAGCAACGCCGCGUGAGUGAUGAAGGUCUUCGGAUCGUAAAACUCUGUUAUUAGGGAAGAACAAAUGUGUAAGUAACUAUGCACGUAUUGACGGUACCUAAUCAGAAAGCCACGGCUAACUACGUG